CCUUUAUGUACAUCACCUAGUGUCAACCACUGCAAGAGAGAAGAUGACAGGAGGAGCUUUGUUACCAUGACAAAGAAACCCUGCGGCUUCUGAGAAGGAGGGAGCAUAGUGGAGCCACUGCAGUGACCAGGCAAGAAUGAGCACCAAGCUUGUUUCACGAGUUUUCUCUGGGCAAAUAGAAUUCUAAGUUUACCAGUGGAUAUUAAAACAAUGAAUUUUCUUCCCGAAUGGAGACAAGCGAAAUGGCUGCAGUUUUCCAGAGUCUAAUUACCAGGAGUAGUUAAAGUGGCCAAAACUUGAAGAGGAAGCGGAUCUGGACUGUUCUCCCUUUGGAUGGGCUGAGACCUGGGCAGGGAGCUGUCUUGGAGGCCACCUUCUCCCACAACCCUCACUGCAGGUCCUGGGUACGUCCAUGUGAGCUUGCACUCAGUGGCCUUGUGAGAACACGGGCUCAGGCAGCACCCAUGACCAAGGCUCUGCUCGGCCCACGGCCUCCUGGUGUGCACCUCGGUCCUCACCUGACUGAGCAAGCCCUUCUACCGACAGCAGCGACAACAAUAGUAACAACAAGUAAAAAUGAAUAUGCAAAUAUUUGUGGAACAUUUCCAGCCACUGGACAUGUUAUACACAGUCUCAUCAAAAACUCACAGCUGUGUCAAUAUCCAUCUUACUUCACUGUGGAGAAACGAAGGCUCAGAGAGGCAUGAGAGAUAACCAACUGGAGUGGCUGGUCCCUGGCUGGAUCUAAGGCAAGGGAAGCAGUAUUGCUCUGAUGAUGGCUGGUACCAUGGCCGCCCUGUUUUUCCCACGUGGAGGAAGCCACGCUGCAACACGCUGAGACAGGGCAGAGGGGUAAGAAAACCAAGUCUUGGAGAAGAGACUAUGACUUUCCCAAGCACAUGUGGAUGAGUAAUGGCAGGACCUUGACCGGGCCCCUGAUAACCCAUAUGGUACCUUCAUGGACUCAGUCCUGCCCAUGCACAGCUGAAGGCUGAACCCCUUUUGCUAGAUAUUUGGGGACAGAAGGCAACCAACUGUACCUCGUCCUGGGAUGCCCUGAAUAAGGAGUCUCAUGAAGACACACACUGAGAACCACUCCAAAACAGAUGAAGCCAGAAAUGCUAUCAUUUAAAGAAGACUGGAGAGACAUGACAAUGUAAUGCAACAAGUGACCACUGAUUGGAUCCAGGAAGUAUGGAAGUGUGCCACCCAUAUCUCCCCUCAAGACCUGCUGCUGCCCAGUGGGGAGAACGUGGCUGGCCGGCAGCCUCCAACUGUCGGCUCUUCAGGAUUUGCUUUAGGCAGAGAGCAGCCUGCUCCAGGUAACUGACCCAGGAGGAGCUAUCAAGUCCCGUCUGGCUCUGUGUCGUACAAUCUGCUGGGCAAUUCUUGCUCCCCAUUGGGCAAACUGAGGCUUUGUCAGGCUGGUUGGCAGUUCAGCUCCUUCCUCUGUCCAAUCCUCCUUCCUUUCACAUGCAUAUGUACUGAUCAACAUUUUGCACCCCAAACUCCACCUCUGUGUGAACUUCCAGAGAACCCAACGUUUGAAGCCAACUGAAAAGGCCAGUAUUGGGCAAUUGGGGAACUUUGAAUAUGGGCUAUAUUAAUGUUAAUGAUAUUGUACCAGUGUUAUAUUUUUUGAAUGUGGUGAUCGUGUGGUAUAGGUGACGUCCUGGUUAAUGUAUUUCUCUAUAUGGCUAUUGCUGUAUCUGUCUAUAUAGAUCUCUUUAUAUAGGGAUCUUUAUAUCUGCAUAUAGAUGUAUAGAUGCCUAUAUCUAGACAUGAAAAUAUAGAAAUCUAUGUACCUCUUGGGGACAGAGACAGGCAUACAGACAAAACAAAGGUACCAAUUCAUAAAUCCAGGUGAAUUAUUUAGAGAUGCUCAUUAUAUUAUUUUUCCCAUUUAUGGUAGGUUUGAAAAUUUUCAAAAUAAAUGUUGAGAGAAAAAUAUCUGUAUGUGUAUUGUGACCUCACACCUGUUUACACAUAGAAAAAUCUGGAAGAUUAUAUCCAACCCAAUCUUUGAGUGGCUGGAAAAGUAUUAUUAUUAUUAUUAUUAUUAUUAUUAUU
Non-coding RNA from Ictidomys tridecemlineatus (thirteen-lined ground squirrel), 2070 nucleotides. Lineage: Eukaryota; Metazoa; Chordata; Mammalia; Rodentia; Sciuridae. The record is from RefSeq and is a predicted model, not a curated record.